AUUGAACGCUGGCGGCAUGCCUUACACAUGCAAGUCGAACGGUAACAGGUCUUCGGAUGCUGACGAGUGGCGAACGGGUGAGUAAUACAUCGGAACGUGCCUAGUAGUGGGGGAUAACUACUCGAAAGAGUGGCUAAUACCGCAUGAGAUCUACGGAUGAAAGCAGGGGAUCGCAAGACCUUGUGCUACUAGAGCGGCCGAUGGCAGAUUAGGUAGUUGGUGGGAUAAAAGCUUACCAAGCCGACGAUCUGUAGCUGGUCUGAGAGGACGAUCAGCCACACUGGGACUGAGACACGGCCCAGACUCCUACGGGAGGCAGCAGUGGGGAAUUUUGGACAAUGGGCGCAAGCCUGAUCCAGCAAUGCCGCGUGCAGGAUGAAGGCCUUCGGGUUGUAAACUGCUUUUGUACGGAACGAAAAGCCCUGGGUUAAUACCCUGGGGUCAUGACGGUACCGUAAGAAUAAGCACCGGCUAACUACGUG
This 482-nucleotide ribosomal RNA is filed under the name uncultured bacterium. Its description in RNAcentral is "partial 16S ribosomal RNA". It matches the Rfam family "Bacterial small subunit ribosomal RNA", at positions 30 to 507 of the family's 1533-position model. RNAcentral also lists the same sequence under 1 other name. The record is from RNAcentral.